AUGAACGCUAGCUACAGGCUUAACACCUGCAAGUCGAGGGGAAACGGCAUUGAGUGCUUGCACUCUUUGGACGUCGACCGGCGCACGGGUGAGUAACGCGUAUCCAACCUUCCCAUUACUGUGGGAUAACCUGCCGAAAGGCAGACUAAUACCGCAUAGUCUUCGAUGACGGCAUCAGAUUUGAAGUAAAGAUUUAUCGGUAAUGGAUGGGGAUGCGUCUGAUUAGCUUGUUGGCGGGGUAACGGCCCACCAAGGCUACGAUCAGUAGGGGUUCUGAGAGGAAGGUCCCCCACAUUGGAACUGAGACACGGUCCAAACUCCUACGGGAGGCAGCAGUGAGGAAUAUUGGUCAAUGGACGGAAGUCUGAACCAGCCAAGUAGCGUGCAGGAUGACGGCCCUAUGGGUUGUAAACUGCUUUUGUAUGGGGAUAAAGUUAGGGACGUGUCCCUAUUUGCAGGUACCAUACGAAUAAGGACCGGCUAAUUCCGUG
Molecule: ribosomal RNA, 491 nt
Filed under: uncultured bacterium
Lineage: Bacteria
Description: partial 16S ribosomal RNA
Rfam family: Bacterial small subunit ribosomal RNA
Source: RNAcentral